RNAcentral lists this ribosomal RNA (812 nucleotides) under Magnaporthaceae sp. RNAcentral describes it as "partial large subunit ribosomal RNA". It matches the Rfam family "Eukaryotic large subunit ribosomal RNA", at positions 71 to 913 of the family's 3401-position model. Lineage: Eukaryota; Fungi; Ascomycota; Sordariomycetes; Magnaporthales; Magnaporthaceae. The record is from RNAcentral.
GGGAUUGCCCUAGUAACGGCGAGUGAAGCGGCAACAGCUCAAAUUUGAAAUCUGGCCCUAGGCCCGAGUUGUAAUUUGUAGAGGAUGCUUUUGGUGACGUGCUUACCGAGUCCCCUGGAAUGGGGCGCCACAGAGGGUGAGAGCCCCGUAUGGUUUGCCGCCGAGCCUCUGUAAAGCUCCUUCGACGAGUCGAGUAGUUUGGGAAUGCUGCUCUAAAUGGGAGGUAAAUUUCUUCUAAAGCUAAAUACCGGCCAGAGACCGAUAGCGCACAAGUAGAGUGAUCGAAAGAUGAAAAGCACUUUGAAAAGAGGGUUAAAUAGCACGUGAAAUUGUUGAAAGGGAAGCGCUUGUGACCAGACUCGCGCCCGGCGGAUCAUCCGGCGUUCUCGCCGGUGCACUCCGCCGGGAUCGGGCCAGCAUCGGUUUUCGCCGGGGGACAAAAGCUUCGGGAACGUGGCUCCCUUCGGGGAGUGUUAUAGCCCGUUGCAUAAUACCCCGGCGGGGACCGAGGACCGCGCUUCGGCAAGGAUGCUGGCAUAAUGGUCAUCAGCGACCCGUCUUGAAACACGGACCGAGGAGUCAAGCAUUAGUGCGAGUGUUUGGGUGUAAAACCCGCACGCGUAAUGAAAGUGAACGUAGGUGAGAGCUUCGGCGCAUCAUCGACCGAUCCUGAUGUUUUCGGAUGGAUUUGAGUAGGAGCAUUAACGCUUGGACCCGAAAGAUGGUGAACUAUACUUGAAUAGGGUGAAGCCAGAGGAAACUCUGGUGGAGGCUCGCAGCGGUUCUGACGUGCAAAUCGAUCGUCAAAUUUG